GAUGAACGCUGGCGGCGUGCUUAACACAUGCAAGUCGAACGAGGAAUGCUGAUGAAGUUUUCGGAUGGAGACAAAGAUGUAUGUUUUAGCGGCGGACGGGUGAGUAACGCGUGAGCAACCUGUCCUUCACGAGGGGGAUAACACAGCGAAAGUUGUACUAAUACCGCAUAAGACCACGGGGCUGCAUGGCCCAGGGGUCAAAGGAGCAAUCCGGUGAAGGGUGGGCUCGCGUCCGAUUAGAUAGUUGGUGAGGUAACGGCCCACCAAGUCGACGAUCGGUAGCCGACCUGAGAGGGUGAUCGGCCACAUUGGGACUGAGACACGGCCCAAACUCC
This 335-nucleotide ribosomal RNA is filed under the name uncultured Coriobacteriales bacterium. RNAcentral describes it as "bacterial SSU rRNA". It matches the Rfam family "Bacterial small subunit ribosomal RNA", at positions 28 to 339 of the family's 1533-position model. Lineage: Bacteria; Bacillati; Actinomycetota; Coriobacteriia; Coriobacteriales. The record is from RNAcentral.